This 2923-nucleotide ribosomal RNA is filed under the name Klebsiella pneumoniae. RNAcentral describes it as "23S ribosomal RNA". It matches the Rfam family "Bacterial large subunit ribosomal RNA". Lineage: Bacteria; Pseudomonadati; Pseudomonadota; Gammaproteobacteria; Enterobacterales; Enterobacteriaceae. The record is from RNAcentral.
GGGUUGUGAGGUUAAGCGACUAAGCGUACACGGUGGAUGCCCUGGCAGUCAGAGGCGAUGAAGGACGUGCUAAUCUGCGAAAAGCGUCGGUAAGGUGAUAUGAACCGUUAUAACCGGCGAUGUCCGAAUGGGGAAACCCAGUGCAAUUCGUUGCACUAUCGUUAACUGAAUACAUAGGUUAACGAGGCGAACCGGGGGAACUGAAACAUCUAAGUACCCCGAGGAAAAGAAAUCAACCGAGAUUCCCCCAGUAGCGGCGAGCGAACGGGGAGCAGCCCAGAGUCUGAAUCAGCUUGUGUGUUAGUGGAACGGUCUGGAAAGUCCGACGGUACAGGGUGAUAGUCCCGUACACCAAAAUGCACAGGCUGUGAACUCGAAGAGUAGGGCGGGACACGUGGUAUCCUGUCUGAAUAUGGGGGGACCAUCCUCCAAGGCUAAAUACUCCUGACUGACCGAUAGUGAACCAGUACCGUGAGGGAAAGGCGAAAAGAACCCCGGCGAGGGGAGUGAAAAAGAACCUGAAACCGUGUACGUACAAGCAGUGGGAGCACCUUCGGGUGUGACUGCGUACCUUUUGUAUAAUGGGUCAGCGACUUAUAUUCUGUAGCAAGGUUAACCGUAUAGGGGAGCCGCAGGGAAACCGAGUCUUAACUGGGCGUUAAGUUGCAGGGUAUAGACCCGAAACCCGGUGAUCUAGCCAUGGGCAGGUUGAAGGUUGGGUAACACUAACUGGAGGACCGAACCGACUAAUGUUGAAAAAUUAGCGGAUGACUUGUGGCUGGGGGUGAAAGGCCAAUCAAACCGGGAGAUAGCUGGUUCUCCCCGAAAGCUAUUUAGGUAGCGCCUCGUGAACUCAUCUUCGGGGGUAGAGCACUGUUUCGGCUAGGGGGUCAUCCCGACUUACCAACCCGAUGCAAACUACGAAUACCGAAGAAUGUUAUCACGGGAGACACACGGCGGGUGCUAACGUCCGUCGUGAAGAGGGAAACAACCCAGACCGCCAGCUAAGGUCCCAAAGUCAUGGUUAAGUGGGAAACGAUGUGGGAAGGCACAGACAGCCAGGAUGUUGGCUUAGAAGCAGCCAUCAUUUAAAGAAAGCGUAAUAGCUCACUGGUCGAGUCGGCCUGCGCGGAAGAUGUAACGGGGCUAAACCAUGCACCGAAGCUGCGGCAGCGACACUAUGUGUUGUUGGGUAGGGGAGCGUUCUGUAAGCCUGCGAAGGUGACCUGUGAGGGUUGCUGGAGGUAUCAGAAGUGCGAAUGCUGACAUAAGUAACGAUAAAGCGGGUGAAAAGCCCGCUCGCCGGAAGACCAAGGGUUCCUGUCCAACGUUAAUCGGGGCAGGGUGAGUCGACCCCUAAGGCGAGGCCGAAAGGCGUAGUCGAUGGGAAACAGGUUAAUAUUCCUGUACUUGGUGUUACUGCGAAGGGGGGACGGAGAAGGCUAUGUUAGCCGGGCGACGGUUGUCCCGGUUUAAGCAUGUAGGCUGGUUGUCCAGGCAAAUCCGGAUAAUCAAGGCUGAGGUGUGAUGACGAGGCACUACGGUGCUGAAGUAACAAAUGCCCUGCUUCCAGGAAAAGCCUCUAAGCAUCAGGUAACAUCAAAUCGUACCCCAAACCGACACAGGUGGUCAGGUAGAGAAUACCAAGGCGCUUGAGAGAACUCGGGUGAAGGAACUAGGCAAAAUGGUGCCGUAACUUCGGGAGAAGGCACGCUGGUGUGUAGGUGAAGCCCCCGCGGGUGGAGCUGAGACCAGUCGAAGAUACCAGCUGGCUGCAACUGUUUAUUAAAAACACAGCACUGUGCAAACACGAAAGUGGACGUAUACGGUGUGACGCCUGCCCGGUGCCGGAAGGUUAAUUGAUGGGGUUAUCCGUAAGGAGAAGCUCUUGAUCGAAGCCCCGGUAAACGGCGGCCGUAACUAUAACGGUCCUAAGGUAGCGAAAUUCCUUGUCGGGUAAGUUCCGACCUGCACGAAUGGCGUAAUGAUGGCCAGGCUGUCUCCACCCGAGACUCAGUGAAAUUGAACUCGCUGUGAAGAUGCAGUGUACCCGCGGCAAGACGGAAAGACCCCGUGAACCUUUACUAUAGCUUGACACUGAACAUUGAGCCUUGAUGUGUAGGAUAGGUGGGAGGCUUUGAAGCGUGGACGCCAGUCUGCGUGGAGCCAACCUUGAAAUACCACCCUUUAAUGUUUGAUGUUCUAACGUUGGCCCCUGACCGGGGUUGCGGACAGUGUCUGGUGGGUAGUUUGACUGGGGCGGUCUCCUCCCAAAGCGUAACGGAGGAGCACGAAGGUUAGCUAAUCCUGGUCGGACAUCAGGAGGUUAGUGCAAUGGCAUAAGCUAGCUUGACUGCGAGCGUGACGGCGCGAGCAGGUGCGAAAGCAGGUCAUAGUGAUCCGGUGGUUCUGAAUGGAAGGGCCAUCGCUCAACGGAUAAAAGGUACUCCGGGGAUAACAGGCUGAUACCGCCCAAGAGUUCAUAUCGACGGCGGUGUUUGGCACCUCGAUGUCGGCUCAUCACAUCCUGGGGCUGAAGUAGGUCCCAAGGGUAUGGCUGUUCGCCAUUUAAAGUGGUACGCGAGCUGGGUUUAGAACGUCGUGAGACAGUUCGGUCCCUAUCUGCCGUGGGCGCUGGAGAAUUGAGGGGGGCUGCUCCUAGUACGAGAGGACCGGAGUGGACGCAUCACUGGUGUUCGGGUUGUCAUGCCAAUGGCACUGCCCGGUAGCUAAAUGCGGAAGAGAUAAGUGCUGAAAGCAUCUAAGCACGAAACUUGCCCCGAGAUGAGUUCUCCCUGAGACUUUAAGUCUCCUGAAGGAACGUUGAAGACGACGACGUUGAUAGGCCGGGUGUGUAAGCGCAGCGAUGCGUUGAGCUAACCGGUACUAAUGAACCGUGAGGCUUAACCUUACAACGCCGAAG